RNAcentral lists this ribosomal RNA (420 nucleotides) under uncultured bacterium. RNAcentral describes it as "bacterial SSU rRNA". It matches the Rfam family "Bacterial small subunit ribosomal RNA", at positions 355 to 775 of the family's 1533-position model. The record is from RNAcentral.
UGGGGAAUCUUGCGCAAUGGCCGCAAGGCUGACGCAGCGACGCCGCGUGUGGGAGGACGCCCUUCGGGGUGUAAACCACUGUUGCCCGGGACGAACGAGGGGUUUCGACCCCUGUGACGGUACCGGGUGAGGAAGCACCGGCUAACUCCGUGCCAGCAGCCGCGGUAAUACGGAGGGUGCGAGCGUUGUCCGGAAUCACUGGGCGUAAAGGGCGCGUAGGCGGUGGCUUAAGCGUGCGGUGAAAGCCCGGGGCUCAACCCCGGGUCGGCCGUGCGGACUGGGUCACUCGAGCACUGUAGGGGCGGGUGGAAUUCCGGGUGUAGCGGUGGAAUGCGUAGAGAUCCGGAAGAACACCGGUGGCGAAGGCGGCCCGCUGGGCAGUGGCUGACGCUGAGGCGCGACAGCGUGGGGAGCAAACAG